Molecule: ribosomal RNA, 253 nt
Filed under: uncultured bacterium
Lineage: Bacteria
Description: partial 16S ribosomal RNA
Rfam family: Bacterial small subunit ribosomal RNA
Source: RNAcentral
UACAGAGGUCUCAAGCGUUGUUCGGAUUCAUUGGGCGUAAAGGGUGCGUAGGCGGUGAGGUAAGUCGGAUGUGAAAUCCCGGGGCUCAACCCCGGAACUGCAUUCGAUACUGCCUUGCUUGAGCACUGGAGAGGAGACUGGAAUUUACGGUGUAGCAGUGAAAUGCGUAGAUAUCGUAAGGAAGACCAGUGGCGAAGGCGAGUCUCUGGACAGUUCCUGACGCUGAGGCACGAAGGUCAGGGGAGCAAACGGG